CCAGAGGUGUUCCUGGGGUGCUCCAGAGGUGUUCCUGGGGUGCUCCAGAGGUGUUCCUGUUGAGCUGGGGUGCUCCAGAGGUGUUCCUGGGGUGCUCCAGAGGUGUUCCUGUUGAGCUGGGGUGCUCCAGAGGUGUUCCUGGGGUGCUCCAGAGGUGUUCCUGUUGAGCUGGGGUGCUCCAGAGGUGUUCCUGGGGUGCUCCAGAGGUGUUCCUGUUGAGCUGGGGUGCUCCUGCUCUGGCCCUUAGGAGUGCAGUGGCUUUCCCUGACCCCAGCAGGACCUGCCCCCUUGGGGCUCUGCUUGCUUUGUAGUUGAUCUGCUCCCUUCCAGCCCAACCCAUUCAGUGAUUUUUGAUGAUUCUAAGAACUGAGGAAGCUCAGAAACAUCAUCCAGGGUAGAGAAAGGUGUGUGUGAGGGGGGGAGGAAGCUGCUUGUUGGGGGUUGUUGGGGAAGGGUUAGAUUGGAUUUAGCAGCUGGAUGUGGUGCCUUGGGAUUGCAAAACCUUCUGCAGCUCUUCAGCCUUCCUGCUCUCCAGAAAUGACUUACAAAUAGAUGUUGAAUGAUCAAAUAAACUCAGCUGUGCAGUG
Long non-coding RNA from Pogoniulus pusillus (Red-fronted tinkerbird), 587 nucleotides. RefSeq lists it as uncharacterized. The record is from RefSeq and is a predicted model, not a curated record. The transcript has 2 exons. NCBI's taxonomy places the organism in Eukaryota, Metazoa, Chordata, Aves, Piciformes, Lybiidae.